GUGAGGAAUUUUCCGCAAUGGGCGAAAGCCUGACGGAGCAAUGCCGCGUGAAUGAUGAAGGUCUUAGGAUUGUAAAAUUCUUUCACCGGGGACGAUAAUGACGGUACCCGGAGAAGAAGCCCCGGCUAACUUCGUGCCAGCAGCCGCGGUAAUACGAAGGGGGCUAGCGUUGCUCGGAAUUACUGGGCGUAAAGGGCGCGUAGGCGGACAGUUUAGUCAGAGGUGAAAGCCCAGGGCUCAACCUUGGAAUUGCCUUUGAUACUGGCUGUCUUGAGUACGGGAGAGGUGAGUGGAACUCCGAGUGUAGAGGUGAAAUUCGUAGAUAUUCGGAAGAACACCAGUGGCGAAGGCGACUCACUGGCCCGUUACUGACGCUGAGGCGCGAAAGCGUGGGGAGCAAACAGGAUUAGAUACCCGAGUAGUCC
Molecule: ribosomal RNA, 425 nt
Filed under: uncultured bacterium
Lineage: Bacteria
Description: partial 16S ribosomal RNA
Rfam family: Bacterial small subunit ribosomal RNA
Source: RNAcentral